UGUUUGCCUGAAGGGCCUGGGAGACGC
RNAcentral lists this non-coding RNA (27 nucleotides) under Bombyx mori (domestic silkworm). RNAcentral also lists the same sequence under 1 other name. The record is from RNAcentral. Lineage: Eukaryota; Metazoa; Arthropoda; Insecta; Lepidoptera; Bombycidae.